Molecule: non-coding RNA, 1258 nt
Organism: Leptonychotes weddellii (Weddell seal)
Lineage: Eukaryota; Metazoa; Chordata; Mammalia; Carnivora; Phocidae
Source: RefSeq, a predicted model, not a curated record
CCCAGUGGGUGUCCAACCAAUGGGCUCCCGGCCAAGUAGUGGGAGCUCUGGGUGUCCAACUCCUCCUAUUUAGGAUUAGCGUUAGGUAGGCCUGGGCGUUAGGGAUUGGGCGGUCCUCCCUCCCCGCCUGAAGCGAGGCGGGACAGUUGUUGCUGAGGUGAGGUCUAGUAAAUGGUGAAGUAUUUCCUGGCCUGGGGGCAUCUGGGACCGUGGGGUCUCGGUGGCGUGGAGUCGGAGAGGAGCCCGACCCGCGGGGAAACCCAGUCUUGCCAACGGAGCGGGCCCGGCGCAGCCCUCAGGUCUGUGGUGCUAGUGGAGCCGAGGCACGGCCUUGGGUGGCCCGCUGACAGCUCCUUCGGCCCGGACCUGGGAACGCGGCGGAGCCCUCGGCUGCGUGGACCCCAGCCCUUGCAACCUCUCUUUUCCUUCUAUCCACCUGCAGUCCCAGGCUGUAGAAGGGACCGCGGGCGUUCUGAGUUCUCAACCCUCAUUUCAUUUUCUAUCUCCGGGUGCAUACCUUAAUGUGAGGUGAUUCCUAAGCAGCUGGGAACCUGAGGCUGUAAAAGGGGCUGCAGGAAAUGGACUGCAUUGUAAAAUCCAGAAGCAGAACUGGAAGGUUUAACCACUGACCCAUUUCACAGGUACUGUAUAGCACAUUUUAUUUGCCAUUCUCUUUUUGAUGGACAUUGGUUGUUCCCAGUUUUUCAACUUAUAGACAAUGCUGCAGGGAAAUCCUGAAUGUCUCAUGCAUCCAUGGACCAAAAGAUGGAGUUGGUUUUUAUUUUUAAAAAGAUAUUAUCAAUGAUCUGAUAUAACUAUAAAUACUCACUUGAUGAAGUUGCAUGGACUCAUCAUCAGGUUGGACUAGUGGUUAUUUUUGAAAGUUUCUUCAACUGAAGUUACUAUUUGAAAAUUAAAGCAUCCAAGAACAUUGGAUUUGGAAUGGCAUAAUGAUGUAUUUUCUCUGAGGACUGCAAAUUUCAUAGAGACCACACUGAAUUCCAGUUGGAUUCCAGUUAUAUUCUUCAAUCAAAGUGAUUCAGUCCUUUGAUAAAGUUAAUUUUGAAUAGUUUUAUGUUUAUGAACGACGCCAAAAGAUGGGAGAAAAAAAUGGUAGGUUUGGAAACCGUUGUUAAACAUUAUAUUUAAAAGUGUAUAGACCACUUAAUGAAGCUGAAUUGUGGAAUUUUCAAAGUUUUUCACUACAAGUGACUAUUCUACAUUUGAAGGAAUUUAGGAUUUAUUCUCAUGUAGCCAA